RNAcentral lists this long non-coding RNA (485 nucleotides) under Rosa chinensis. Its description in RNAcentral is "sRNA RchiOBHm_Chr3g0456741". The record is from RNAcentral. Lineage: Eukaryota; Viridiplantae; Streptophyta; Magnoliopsida; Rosales; Rosaceae.
GAAUUGAAACAAUAAGAGUGAAAGGAAAGGUUAAGCACGACGCUGCAGACACUCUCUUUUCUUCUUUGCUUCGCACGAGAAUAGGCCAACUGGUUUUCAUCGGAGUGAGGGAGAUUGCAGCCUUCUUGGAUGUGAUGAGCCCAUCCUAGUUGUAAGAGGUAUUUGUUGAUUUUUUUUUUCCAACGAGUUCUUUAAAAAUCGCUUUGAAAUUUGAUAUGUCACUGAAAUGGGGUUUGGGUAAUGGGGGUUUUGCUAGGGAUAUUAGCUGUCACCGAUGUCGUAUGGACUAAUUGACAGCCACUGCAAUCAAUUUCUUGGAAGAAGUUGGAGACAUAUUCCUAACAACUCAACAGAACCUUUAGGAGUAAUGGUCUUGAAGUCUUGAGGAGUGUUCCCAGAACGUUGGUACUGGAUUGGAGUAGUAGCUUUAUUUGGAUUUAUUCUUCUAUUAAACUUCCUUUUUAUCUUGGCAGUUCAGUAUUUUC